Molecule: transfer RNA, 73 nt
Rfam family: tRNA
About the family: Transfer RNA (tRNA) molecules are approximately 80 nucleotides in length. Their secondary structure includes four short double-helical elements and three loops (D, anti-codon, and T loops).
GCGGUCUUAGCUCAGUCGGGAGAGCGUUAGACUGAAGAUCUAAAGGUCCUGUGUUCAAUCCACAGAGAUCGCA